RNAcentral lists this ribosomal RNA (862 nucleotides) under uncultured bacterium. RNAcentral's name for it is "bacterial SSU rRNA". It matches the Rfam family "Bacterial small subunit ribosomal RNA", at positions 523 to 1398 of the family's 1533-position model. The record is from RNAcentral.
AUACGUAAGGGGGCAAGCGUUGUCCGAUUCACUGGCGUAAGCGCGCGCAGCGUGAUGUAGUCUGAGUGAAUCCGAGCUCAACUUCGGGACUGCCUGGAUACUGCGUCACUGAGGAUAGGAGAGGCAAGGGGAAUUCCACGUGUAGCGUGAAAUGCGUAGAGAUGUGGAGGAACACCUGUGGCGAAGGCGCCUUGCUGGCCUAUUUCUGACGCUGAGGCGCGAAAGCGUGGGGAGCAAACAGGAUUAGAUACCCUGGUAGUCCACGCUGUAAACGAUGAGUGCUAGGUGUAGGUGGGCUCAUACCCAUCUGUGCCGAAGCUAACGCAUUAAGCACUCCGCCUGGGGAGUACGGUCGCAAGACUGAAACUCAAAGGAAUUGACGGGGGCCCGCACAAGCAGUGGAGCAUGUGGUUUAAUUCGAAGCAACGCGAAGAACCUUACCAGGACUUGACAUCCCAUAGACCAGUCUAGAGAUAGACUUUUCUUCGGGGCUGUGGUGACAGGUGGUGCAUGGUUGUCGUCAGCUCGUGUCGUGAGAUGUUGGGUUAAGUCCCGCAACGAGCGCAACCCUUACUUUGUGUUGCCAGCAUUCAGUUGGGCACUCACAAGGGACUGCCGCCGAUAAGGCGGAGGAAGGUGGGGAUGACGUCAAAUUAUCAUGCCCCUUAUGUCCUGGGCUACACACGUGCUACAAUGGGCGGUACAACGGGAUGCGAAGCCGCGAGGUGGAGCCAAACCCUGAAAACCGUUCGUAGUUCGGAUUGUAGGCUGCAACUCGCCUACAUGAAGCCGGAAUUGCUAGUAAUCGCGGAUCAGCAUGCCGCGGUGAAUCCGUUCCCGGGCCUUGUACACACCGCCCGUC